UACGAAGGGGGCUAGCGUUGCUCGGAAUUACUGGGCGUAAAGGGCGCGUAGGCGGAUAGUUUAGUCAGAGGUGAAAGCCCAGGGCUCAACCUUGGAAUUGCCUUUGAUACUGGCUAUCUUGAGUUCGGGAGAGGUGAGUGGAAUGCCGAGUGUAGAGGUGAAAUUCGUAGAUAUUCGGCGGAACACCAGUGGCGAAGGCGACUCACUGGCCCGAUACUGACGCUGAGGCGCGAAAGCUAGGGGAGCGAACAGG
Molecule: ribosomal RNA, 253 nt
Filed under: uncultured bacterium
Lineage: Bacteria
Description: partial 16S ribosomal RNA
Rfam family: Bacterial small subunit ribosomal RNA
Source: RNAcentral